This 1972-nucleotide ribosomal RNA is filed under the name human gut metagenome. RNAcentral's name for it is "bacterial LSU rRNA". It matches the Rfam family "Bacterial large subunit ribosomal RNA", at positions 1 to 1984 of the family's 2925-position model. The record is from RNAcentral.
GUGAACGAUUAAGGGCGCGCGGUGGAUGCCUAGGCUCUCGGAGGCGAAGAAGGACGCGAUAAGCCGCGAUAGUCCACGGCGAGGUGCAAGUAACCCUUGACCCGUGGGUUUCCGAAUGGGGCAACCCGGCCGUCUAGAUGACGGUCAUGCAUUAUCAUGCAGGCGAACGCGGGGAACUGAAACAUCUCAUUACCCGCAGGAGAAGAAAACAAAAUGUGAUUCCCCCAGUAGUGGCGAGCGAACGGGGAAGAGCCCAAACCGCUGCCGUUUCGGCGACAGCGGGGUCAUGGGACCGCGAGAUUCGACGGAAGACGAAGUGCAAUUACCUGGAAAGGUAAGCCGUGGAGGGUGACAGCCCCGUGCACGACACCUCUUUCUUAGAUAGCGGUAUCCCGAGUAGGGCGGGACACGAGAAAUCCUGCCUGAAUUCGCCAGGACCUCCUGGCAAGGCUAAAUACUCCCGAGAGACCGAUAGUGAACCAGUACCGCGAGGGAAAGGUGAAAAGUACCCCGAGCAGGGGGGUGAAAUAGACCCUGAACCCGCGCGCCUACAAGCGGUCGGAGCCGAGUAAUUCGGUGACGGCGUGCCUUUUGCAUAAUGAGCCUACGAGUUAGUCGUCACCAGCGAGGUUAAGGGCUUCAGGCCCGUCAGCCGAAGUGAAAGCGAGCCUUAACAGGGCGUGAAGUUGGUGGCGCUAGACGCGAAACCUUGUGAUCUACCCACGAGCAGGUUGAAGUCGCGGUAACACGUGAUGGAGGACCGAACCGGUAAACGUUGAAAAGUUUUCGGAUGACUCGCGGGUAGGGGUGAAAGGCCAAUCAAACUGGGAAAUAGCUCGUACUCUCCGAAAUGCAUUUCGGUGCAGCCUGUGAUGUUCUGUUCCAGAGGUAGAGCUACUGGUUGGACGCGAGGGCUUCACCGCCUAUCAAAUCCGGAUAAACUCCGAAUGCUGGAACACGAAAUCAUGGAGUGAGCCCGCGGGUGCUAAGGUCCGCGGACGAGAGGGAAAGAACCCGGACCACCGGCUAAGGUCCCGGAUGGACAGUUAAGUUGAUCAAACGAGGUGGGAUCGCGGAGACAGCUAGGAUGUUGGCUUGGAAGCAGCCAUUCAUUUAAAGAGUGCGUAACAGCUCACUAGUCGAGCGAUCCCGCGUGGAUAAUACACGGGCAUAAGUCCGUUGCCGAAGCCGUGGGAUGCCACACAAGUGGCAUCGGUAGGGGAGCAUUCCGCGGGCCGCAGAAGGUGGGGCGUGAGCCCUGCUGGAGGCAGCGGAAAAGCAAAUGUAGGAAUAAGUAACGACAAAGGGGGCGGGAAACCCCCUCGCCGUAAGACCAAGGGUUCCUGAUCAACGCUAAUCGGAUCAGGGUAAGCCGGGGCCUAAGUGGCAGCCGCGAGGCGAACACGAUGGACAAACGGUAAAGAUUCCGUUGCCCCUGCGGUCAAGUGAUGUGGAGACGGAGCAGUGACACACCCGCGCGCUGACGGAAUAGCGCGUUGAACCGUGUAGCUAAACGCCGGGGAGGCAAAUCCCCCCGGAGUGGCGAGGCGGGACAGUACGGCGAGCCCCCGGGCAAGCCGACAGCGGUGGUAACCAUACUCCCGAGAAAAUCCGCUAAGCGUUAUAAAGACCGCAGGGCCCGUACCGCAAACCGACACAGGUGGUCGGGUAGAAUAUACCAAGGCGCUCGAGAGAUUCACGGUUAAGGAACUAGGCAAAUUGACCCCGUAACUUCGGGAUAAGGGGUCCCCACUUUAUGGUGGGGCGCAGAGAAUAGGUCCAGGCAACUGUUUAACAAAAACACAGGGCUGUGCAAAGUUGAAAGAUGAAGCAUACAGCCUGACACCUGCCCGGUGCCGGAAGGUUAAGAGGAGGCGUCAUCGCAAGAGAAGCGCUGAAUUGAAGCCCCGGUAAACGGCGGCCGUAACUAUAACGGUCCUAAGGUAGCGAAAUUCCUUGUCGGGUAAGUUCC